Long non-coding RNA from Topomyia yanbarensis, 694 nucleotides. RefSeq lists it as uncharacterized. The record is from RefSeq and is a predicted model, not a curated record. The transcript is spliced from 3 exons. Lineage: Eukaryota; Metazoa; Arthropoda; Insecta; Diptera; Culicidae.
AAGAGCGAUAGCGUCAAACGAGGACGUGUUUACAUGUUUUUAGAAAAUCAUUUAAAAAUCAUUCUGAAGAUUGAACAUACAUAUUGUUAUAUUUAGAAAGGUGAGCUCUAUCGGGUUAUGAAAUAAAACGGAGAAUUUCGGCAACUGGUAGCGAAUAAUUAUAUCUAUACAGUUCAAAGCAGGCGUUGGCGAGAUUCAAAUCGGCUGUUGCUGCUCUAGAAGAAAUACACAGAAAAGAUGCAAGUUAACUUGAAACAAAGAAGACGUAAUAACAAUGGAAUGAUGAAAACCACCCCUUUUAAAUAGUACAGAGCUAAAGCGCUACUGAUUUGCACGCAAGUCGCACACCAAGCCUAGUGCAUCAUAAACCAGCCCACAUCGUAAAGUUUAAUGCGUACCCCAUCCCGGGCACUGAAUGCCUAAUGAGAGCCAUCAUCAAUAGGGUUAUUAAGCCUGUUAAGCUGUUUUUAGUUUUUUCCGAUGCAGUUGAUAUUGGCAUGCGCAAAUAUUUGUUUCGGACGUUGAUGAAGCAAAACUAUUUUAUGAGAUUAACGGAAAACAACUUUUAUUUACCAAUCUUAAAUCAAAUUCUUGGACUGGGUAAACUGUCAAAUAAGCUACCUUAUGUCGAUCGAAUCGCUGUCAAAUAAGGUCGAUAGUAUCAAACAAGUUACUGUUUACAUUUUCGUACAAA